AUGCCCCGUGAGCCAUUAGUACAGGUAGGCUACAUUAUCGAUCUGGCACAUUUCUUCAUGGAUAAUGGAGGGCAAUUCCCACAACCGAUUCUCACGAAAAGAACAAAAGCAACACAUGAUAAAAGAAAAACUCUGUGCAGUUGCGAGGCUGCAGUUCAUCCAUCCAUUCAUAUGCCGCUCACGCAUGCACGUGACUCAGGGUGGCACCCACCAGAACCCAUUCCAUUAUCUCCAUUCUCUCUGCUCCGGCCUCCAAGAAGCAUCCAUGGCGCUGGCUAUUUAAACCCCUCCACUUUCCCUCCUCAGACUGCAAGCCACAUACACAGUCUGGACACUGCCAUCAUCUAA
Molecule: ribosomal RNA, 348 nt
Filed under: Triticum aestivum (bread wheat)
Lineage: Eukaryota; Viridiplantae; Streptophyta; Magnoliopsida; Poales; Poaceae
Description: partial small subunit ribosomal RNA
Source: RNAcentral